GAGGUUUUCUGGGUUUCUGUUUC
RNAcentral lists this microRNA (23 nucleotides) under Dasypus novemcinctus (nine-banded armadillo). The record is from RNAcentral. RNAcentral also lists the same sequence under 6 other names. Lineage: Eukaryota; Metazoa; Chordata; Mammalia; Cingulata; Dasypodidae.